RNAcentral lists this ribosomal RNA (253 nucleotides) under uncultured bacterium. Its description in RNAcentral is "partial 16S ribosomal RNA". It matches the Rfam family "Bacterial small subunit ribosomal RNA", at positions 524 to 776 of the family's 1533-position model. The record is from RNAcentral.
UACGUAGGGGGCAAGCGUUGUCCGGAAUCAUUGGGCGUAAAGCGCGUGUAGGCGGCUCGGUAAGUCUGCUCUGAAAGUCCAAGGCUCAACCUUGGGAUGCGGGUGGAUACUGCCGGGCUCGAGUCCGGAAGAGGCGAGUGGAAUUCCUGGUGUAGCGGUGAAAUGCGCAGAUAUCAGGAGGAACACCAAUGGCGAAGGCAGCUCUCUGGGACGUGACUGACGCUGAGACGCGAAAGCGUGGGGAGCAAACGGG